GCUGGGUGAGGUGGCGAAUACCUGUAAUCCCAGGGGUUUGGGAGGCUGAGGCAGGUGGACCUGGAGUUCAAAGCCAGCCUCAGUAACUUAGUGAGGCCCUAAGCAACUCAGUGAGACCCUGUCUCUA
RNAcentral lists this small RNA (127 nucleotides) under Marmota monax (woodchuck). The record is from RNAcentral. Lineage: Eukaryota; Metazoa; Chordata; Mammalia; Rodentia; Sciuridae.